This 365-nucleotide unclassified non-coding RNA is filed under the name uncultured fungus. Its description in RNAcentral is "sequence contains ITS1". The stretch from base 1 to 107 matches the Rfam family "5.8S ribosomal RNA", at positions 50 to 154 of the family's 154-position model. The record is from RNAcentral. Lineage: Eukaryota; Fungi.
GAAAUGCGAUACUUGGUGUGAAUUGCAGAAUCCCGUGAACCAUCGAGUCUUUGAACGCAAGUUGCGCCCGAAGCCGUCAGGCCGAGGGCACGUCUGCCUGGGCGUCACGCAUCGCGUCGCCCCCCGCUCGAUCCUCGGUCGAGCGCGGGGUGCGGAUGUUGGCCUCCCGUGCCCCAACUCGUGGCGCGGUCGGCCUAAAUGCGAGUCCUUGGCGACGGACGUCACGGCGAGUGGUGGUCGUACCUAGCGUGCAUAUCUUCGCGCCGUGCCCCGUCGUUCUCGGGCGAACGACCCCGAACGAGCCCCCCUCAGUGCGGCUCUCCGAACGCGACCCCAGGUUAGGCGGGAUUACCCGCUGAGUUUAA